This 592-nucleotide ribosomal RNA is filed under the name uncultured bacterium. RNAcentral's name for it is "bacterial SSU rRNA". It matches the Rfam family "Bacterial small subunit ribosomal RNA", at positions 97 to 685 of the family's 1533-position model. The record is from RNAcentral.
GGCGGACGGGUGAGUAAUGCCUAGGAAUUGCCCUGAUGUGGGGGAUAACCAUUCGGAAACGAUGGCUAAUACCGCAUGAUGCCUAGGGCCAAAGAGGGGAUCCUUCGGGCCUCUCGCGUCAGGAUAUGCCUAGGUCGGGAUUAGCUAGUUGGUGAGGUAAGGGCUCACAAGGCGACGAUCCCUAGCUGGUCUGAGAGUGAUGAUCAGCCACACUGGAACUGAGACACGGUCCAUGACCCUACGGAGAGGCAGCAGUGGGGAAUAUUAGCACAUGGGCGCAAGCCUGAUGCAGCCAUGCCGCGUGUGUGAAGAAGGCCUUCGGGUUGUAUAAGCACUUUCAGUCGUGAGGAAGGUGGUGUAGUUAAUAGCUGCAUUAUUUGACGUUAGCUACAGAAGAAGCACCGCGCUAACUCCGUGCCAGCAGCCGCGGUAAUACGGAGGGUGCGAGCGUUAAUAGGAAUUACUGGGCGUAAACGCAUGCAGGUGGUUUGUUAAGUCAGAUGUGAAAGCCCGGGGCUAACCUCGGAAUUGCAUUUGAAACUGGCAGACUAGAGUACUGUAGAGGGGGGUAGAAUUUCAGGUGUAGCGUGAA